Molecule: ribosomal RNA, 342 nt
Filed under: Triticum aestivum (bread wheat)
Lineage: Eukaryota; Viridiplantae; Streptophyta; Magnoliopsida; Poales; Poaceae
Description: partial small subunit ribosomal RNA
Source: RNAcentral
AUGAGUGUGUUGAGCUGGAACUGCCGGGGGCUUGGGACCCCCGGGGCAGUUCGCGAGCUCCGCAGUAUGGUGAAGCAAGAAGUUCCCUCUCUUCUCUUUGUUAUGGAGACAAAGAUUAGAGGAAGGAGAGUGGAGGAUUUGAAGAAUUUAUUGGGUUUUGGAGGCUGCUCUGCCGUGGACAGUGUGGGCCUAAGUGGUGGCAUAGGUCUAUUCUGGUCCAGGAAAGUUUUGGUUGAGCUGAAAUCCUAUAGCUCAAGCCAUAUUGAUGUAAUGGUUAAAAAUGAUGAACAAAAUUCUCGAGAGUGGAGAUUUACAGGGUUUUAUGGGGCACCACGAGCUUAG